This 492-nucleotide ribosomal RNA is filed under the name uncultured bacterium. RNAcentral describes it as "partial 16S ribosomal RNA". It matches the Rfam family "Bacterial small subunit ribosomal RNA", at positions 29 to 507 of the family's 1533-position model. The record is from RNAcentral.
AGUGAACGCUGGCGGUAGGCCUAACACAUGCAAGUCGAACGGCAGCGCAGUAAGAGCUUGCUCUUACGGGUGGCGAGUGGCGGACGGGUGAGGAAUACAUCGGAAUCUACUUUUUCGUGGGGGAUAACGUAGGGAAACUUACGCUAAUACUGCAUACGACCUACGGGUGAAAGCAGGGGAUCUUCGGACCUUGCGCGAUUGAAUGAGCCGAUGUCGGAUUAGCUAGUUGGCGGGGUAAAGGCCCACCAAGGCGACGAUCCGUAGCUGGUCUGAGAGGAUGAUCAGCCACACUGGAACUGAGACACGGUCCAGACUCCUACGGGAGGCAGCAGUGGGGAAUAUUGGACAAUGGGCGCAAGCCUGAUCCAGCCAUACCGCGUGGGUGAAGAAGGCCUUCGGGUUGUAAAGCCCUUUUGUUGGGAAAGAAAAGCAGCAGGUUAAUACCCCGCUGUUCUGACGGUACCCAAAGAAUAAGCACCGGCUAACUUCGUG